UGGGUAACCUGCCUCAAAGAGGGGAAUAGCCUCCCGAAAGGGAGAUUAAUACCGCAUAAUAUGUUUAGGUCGCAUGACUUUAACAUCAAAGGAUUUUCUUUUAGAAAUUCCACUUUGAGAUGGACCCGCGGCGCAUUAGCUAGUUGGUGAGGUAACGGCUCACCAAGGCGACGACGGGUAGCCGGCCUGAGAGGGCGAUUGGCCACACUGGGACUGAGACACGGCCCAGACUCCGUACGGGAGGNAGCG
RNAcentral lists this ribosomal RNA (249 nucleotides) under uncultured bacterium. RNAcentral describes it as "partial 16S ribosomal RNA". It matches the Rfam family "Bacterial small subunit ribosomal RNA", at positions 118 to 353 of the family's 1533-position model. The record is from RNAcentral.